GAUGAACGCUAGCUACAGGCUUAACACAUGCAAGUCGAGGGGCAGCAUGAAUAUUGGCUUGCCAAUAUUUGAUGGCGACCGGCGCACGGGUGAGUAACACGUAUCCAACCUUCCGGUUACUCGGGGAUAGGCUUUCGAAAGAAAGAUUAAUACCCGAUGUUGUGUAUCUUUCUCCUGAAAGAUACGCCAAAGGAUUCCGGUAACCGAUGGGGAUGCGUUCCAUUAGGCAGUUGGCGGGGUAACGGCCCACCAAACCUUCGAUGGAUAGGGGUUCUGAGAGGAAGGUCCCCCACAUUGGAACUGAGACACGGUCCAAACUCCUACGGGAGGCAGCAGUGAGGAAUAUUGGUCAAUGGACGGAAGUCUGAACCAGCCAAGUAGCGUGAAGGAUGACUGCCCUCUGGGUUGUAAACUUCUUUUAUACGGGAAUAACAUGAGGUACGCGUACCUUAUUGCAUGUACCGUUAUGAAUAAGCAUCGGCUAACUCCGUGCCAGCAGCCGCGGUAAUACGGAGGAUGCGAGCGUUAUCCGGAUUUAUUGGGUUUAAAGGGAGCGUAGGUGGGAUAUUAAGUCAGCUGUGAAAGUUUGGGGCUCAACCUUAAAAUUGCAGUUGAUACUGGUUUCCUUGAGUACGGUACAGGUGGGCGGAAUUCGUGGUGUAGCGGUGAAAUGCUUAGAUAUCACGAAGAACUCCGAUCGCGAAGGCAGCUCACCGGGCCGGAACUGACACUGAUGCUCGAAAGUGCGGGUAUCAAACAGGAUUAGAUACCCUGGUAGUCCGCACAGUAAACGAUGAAUACUCGCUGUUUGCGAUACACUGUAAGCGGCCAAGCGAAAGCGUUAAGUAUUCCACCUGGGGAGUACGCCGGCAACGGUGAAACUCAAAGGAAUUGACGGGGGCCCGCACAAGCGGAGGAACAUGUGGUUUAAUUCGAUGAUACGCGAGGAACCUUACCCGGGCUUAAAUUGCGCUGGCUUUUACCGGAAACGGUAUUUUCUUCGGACCAGCGUGAAGGUGCUGCAUGGUUGUCGUCAGCUCGUGCCGUGAGGUGUCGGCUUAAGUGCCAUAACGAGCGCAACCCUUAUCUUUAGUUACUAACAGUUUUGCUGAGGACUCUAAAGAGACUGCCGUCGUAAGAUGCGAGGAAGGUGGGGAUGACGUCAAAUCAGCACGGCCCUUACGUCCGGGGCUACACGCGUGUUACAAUGGGAAGCACAGCAGGUUGCUACACGGCGACGUGAUGCCAAUCCGUAAAACUCCUCUCAGUUCGGAUCGAAGUCUGCAACCCGACUUCGUGAAGCUGGAUUCGCUAGUAAUCGCGCAUCAGCCACGGCGCGGUGAAUACGUUCCCGGGCCU
RNAcentral lists this ribosomal RNA (1359 nucleotides) under uncultured bacterium. RNAcentral's name for it is "bacterial SSU rRNA". It matches the Rfam family "Bacterial small subunit ribosomal RNA", at positions 28 to 1381 of the family's 1533-position model. The record is from RNAcentral.